GUAGGAGGCAAGCGUUAUCCGGAAUGACUGGGCGUAAAGGGUGCGUAGGUGGUUUGACAAGUUGGUAGCGUAACUCCGGCGCUCAACUUCGGAACUACUACCAAAACUGUUGGACUCGAGUGCAGGAGGGGCAACUGGAAUUUCUAGUGUAGCGGUGGAAUGCGUAGAUAUUAGGAAGAACACCGGUGGCGAAGGCGAGUUGCUGGACUGUAACUGACACUGAGGCACGAAAGCGUGGGGAGCAAA
Molecule: ribosomal RNA, 246 nt
Filed under: uncultured bacterium
Lineage: Bacteria
Description: partial 16S ribosomal RNA
Rfam family: Bacterial small subunit ribosomal RNA
Source: RNAcentral